UAUGCGAUACCUUGGUGUGAAUUGCAGAAUUCAGUGAAUCAUCGAAUCUUUGAACGCAUCUUGCGCCCUUUGGUAUUCCAAAGGGCAUGCCUGUUUGAGUGUCAUGUUCACCUCAGACCUCUUGAGCCUUUUUAUAAGGUUUGAAUGGAUGGUUUGGUUUUGGAGGCUUUGCUGGCAAGUGGCUUCAUGUGUGCAUGUCAGCUCCUCUGAAAAGCAUCAGCUAGGCUUUGGUUUGCAUGGAUGGUGUGAUAGUCAAGUGUUCACUGGAAAUGCUUUCCUAAGAGGUCUGCUUCUAACCGUCUUCGGACAAGGUCUUUUGAGGCCUUUGCUUUUGACUAUUUGACCUCAAAUCAGGUAGGACUACCUGCUGAACUUAAGCAUAUCAAUAGUCGGAGGAA
RNAcentral lists this ribosomal RNA (398 nucleotides) under Phellinus sp. BAB-3636. Its description in RNAcentral is "eukaryotic LSU rRNA". The stretch from base 1 to 104 matches the Rfam family "5.8S ribosomal RNA", at positions 52 to 154 of the family's 154-position model. Lineage: Eukaryota; Fungi; Basidiomycota; Agaricomycetes; Hymenochaetales; Hymenochaetaceae. The record is from RNAcentral.